GAUGAAGAACGUAGCGAAAUGCGAUAAGUAAUGUGAAUUGCAGAAUUCAGUGAAUCAUCGAAUCUUUGAACGCACAUUGCGCUCCCUGGUAUUCCGGGGAGCAUGCCUGUUCGAGCGUCAUUACAACCCUCAAGCUCUGCUUGGUGUUGGGCCCCGCCGCCCCGGCGGGCCCUAAAGUCAGUGGCGGUGCCGUCCGGCUCCGAGCGUAGUAAUUUUUCUCGCUUUGGAGGCCCGGGCGCGUGAUUGCCAUCAACCCCCAAUUUUUUUCAGGUUGACCUCGGAUCAGGUAGGGAUAGCCGCUGAACUUAAGCAUAUCAAUAAGCGGAGGA
RNAcentral lists this unclassified non-coding RNA (329 nucleotides) under soil metagenome. RNAcentral's name for it is "partial contains 5.8S ribosomal RNA, internal transcribed spacer 2, and large subunit ribosomal RNA". The stretch from base 1 to 120 matches the Rfam family "5.8S ribosomal RNA", at positions 35 to 154 of the family's 154-position model. The record is from RNAcentral.